UGUGUUGUGGCUCAGUGGUAGAGUGCUUGCCUGGCAUGUUUGAGAUCCUGAGUUCAAUCCUCAGCACCACAU
Non-coding RNA from Ictidomys tridecemlineatus (thirteen-lined ground squirrel), 72 nucleotides. NCBI's taxonomy places the organism in Eukaryota, Metazoa, Chordata, Mammalia, Rodentia, Sciuridae. The record is from Rfam.